CCGUCCUGGGGGUUUGUAGGCGAUCUCGGCCCGCACAGUCAUCCGGGACUAGGCGUCCACGGCCCGGGGGGUCCGGGCUGGCGCGGGAGGGAGCGCCUCGGGGCCCGGCGGGAGUUCAGGGCGACUCGGGUCCCCUGCGUCCUCACCCACCACCGGCCCGGCCCCUCGCCGCUCGCUCCCGAGCAUCCGGCAGGCAUCCACCAUACGCCUUAGGCAAAAGUUACGCUCAUUAUUCUGGGUGUGUAGAAUACUUUGCUGUUUAAAAAUGAAAAAUAAAAUGGAGCGACCCCAAAAUUAGAUCGGAGUGUGUGGGUUAAAUCACCUGCGGCGCAGCCGUGUGGUGGGGCGCUGUUUAAUCGUUGCAGGGAAGAAGCAGGAGACUAUUUAAAUGCCAGGGAAAAUGCUAGCGGAAAGCGGGCUACGAAGGAUCCCGCGGUGCACCUGUGUCGUCAGAGCGAGGGACCUAGAAAGCGACGGAAACACGCCCAGCUGCAGUCUCGGGAUACUGGGGUCGCAGGUGUGAUUGACAUACAAAAAGGUGAACAUAUGUAACGUCUACAACUUGAUGAGUUUAGAAAUACAUAUACACCGUGAAGCCGUCACCACAGUAUAUGCCAUAAACCUGUCCAUCACCUCCAAGCAUUUCCUGCUGCCCUCUGAAUUUGUGAUGACACAACAUAAGACCUCCACUCAGCAAAGGCCAUAUUCCGUGGCAGAGAACAUGCUUACAGAGAACAUGUAAACUGAAAGGAGGAGAGACAAGGACAGAGGGCUUGGCUGACCUGGAGUGGGGUUCGGGGGCUGCCUGGUGUAGG
Long non-coding RNA from Aethalodelphis obliquidens (Pacific white-sided dolphin), 815 nucleotides. RefSeq lists it as uncharacterized. The record is from RefSeq and is a predicted model, not a curated record. The transcript has 3 exons. Lineage: Eukaryota; Metazoa; Chordata; Mammalia; Artiodactyla; Delphinidae.